Molecule: non-coding RNA, 647 nt
Organism: Nicotiana tabacum (common tobacco)
Lineage: Eukaryota; Viridiplantae; Streptophyta; Magnoliopsida; Solanales; Solanaceae
Source: RefSeq, a predicted model, not a curated record
CCUAAAUGAGCUAGGGGGAGAUAACCAUCAGCGCCGUAAAUACACAAGACCCCCCACCCCCACAUCGUCUUCUUCUGGAGAGGACUUAGAGCAGCCAUGAACAAGGGACCUUAGGCCAGUCAUUUCUGAUUUCUCCACAGCAGCCAGCGACCGUUGCACCUAAACUCCACCCCCAAAACGACCCUUCACCCCUCUUCUCCCCACCAGCGGCGAACUUGUCAGACAGACCCUCCUGAAACCAGCGACCACCAAUAACACAUAAGCACACACGGACAAACACAGUGAAGAGAAGAACAAAAAAUUUGGAGAGGUCUUUGGGUCAAAAUCUGAAAAGAAACGAAAACCAAUGGAGUUCGACUGAGCCGAUUGGAGUUUCUCCCCGGGAUUGCUGUUGCAGCUUAAGUCGAAAUUCUGGUUCGAUUUUACUGAUUUCGCUCUAAUUUGUGUAGAUUUUCAGCUGUAAUUGUUUCCGGCUCCGUCCAGAUUCGCUGGCGAAAGCUCUGGUCAAGAAUCGUCGAGUUAUUUUUAACCUCUUGUAAUUACCAUUUUGGUUGAUUCAUACCAAAGGUGUGGGUCUACUUACCGGAGUUUGAGCAUGAUAGACACCCCAGGACCAUCCAGUCUGGAUCGCUCAUUUAGGAGUUGCU